UCCAUACAUGCAUACAAAAUAUUUUAAUUUCCCAUAUAAGAUGCUAUAUAUCUUCAUAUACUAGAUCCAAUUAUUUGUUUUCCAAAUAUAUGGAGAAGUUUAUGUGUGAAUAUGUGACAGACUUAUAUGUAGUCUCUAUGUAUGGUGGCAUACAUAUCCAUACACUAGAUUCCACUACUUAUUUUCUAAAUAUAUGGAGAACUUUAUGUGUGAAUAUGUGGCAGACAUAUUUGUAGUCUCCAUAUAUGGUGGCAUACAUAUCCAUACACUAGAUUACAUUACUUAUUUUCCAAAUGGAGAACAGUGUGAAUAUAUUUGUUUAUGUCUUGGCGUCACAGAUAAGGUGUCGACUAUGCUGCCUUAUGUGUCAAUGUUUUGUGUGGAGCGCUUUGGGUUGCACUAUGUGCAUGAAAAAUGUGUGAGGCCAAAGCUACUUUAAAUAUAACGGAUGCUUAUCGCAUCUUGAUAUGCGCAUGCGCACACAGCAAUACCCAUCCCCCACCCUGGUCUGACAUUUGAACUCCAACCACGGUGACUUCAACCGUCACUUUUUGUCAUGCAUCCGACUGUGUAGCCUAAGCUGUACAAACUCUGCUUUUAUCAUAUCCAAGGUGGUGAUUUGUGAGGACUGCUGCCCUGAGAACACGGAGUACAUUCUGCAUAUGCCAAAUCAAUGUGUGCCACUUCCAUAAAGGGGAAAAAAGUUUCUACCUGGAGAGUGUACUCACUGUUUGUGUAGAAAAACUAAACUUUAAUAAAAGGUUAAACAAA
This is a long non-coding RNA of Alosa sapidissima (American shad), 771 nucleotides long. RefSeq lists it as uncharacterized. The transcript is spliced from 2 exons. The record is from RefSeq and is a predicted model, not a curated record. Lineage: Eukaryota; Metazoa; Chordata; Actinopteri; Clupeiformes; Clupeidae.